UUAUGCCAAAACUUGUGGUCU
RNAcentral lists this non-coding RNA (21 nucleotides) under Arabidopsis thaliana (thale cress). The record is from RNAcentral. Lineage: Eukaryota; Viridiplantae; Streptophyta; Magnoliopsida; Brassicales; Brassicaceae.